UGGUUCUGGCAACGAUGAAGGACGCAGCGAAAUGCGAUAAGUAAUGUGAAUUGCAGAAUUCCGUGAAUCAUCGAAUCUUUGAACGCACAUUGCGCCCACCAGUACUCUGGUGGGCAUGCCUGUCCGAGCGUCAUUUCGACCCUCGAGCCCCCCUUUGGCGGUGGCUCGGUGCUGGGGCGCUACAGCGUGUUUCGUGCUGUAGGCCCCGAAAUGCAGUGGCGGCCUCGUCGAGACCCCGAGCGCAGUAAACCGUGCCUUAGCACGGCGCCUCGUUCAGGGUGUCCGGCGGGUGUUUAGCCGUUAAACCCCCCUAAUUUAUAGAAGUUUGACCUCGGAUCAGGUAGGAAUACCCGCUGA
This 357-nucleotide unclassified non-coding RNA is filed under the name uncultured fungus. RNAcentral's name for it is "partial contains 5.8S ribosomal RNA and internal transcribed spacer 2". The stretch from base 1 to 133 matches the Rfam family "5.8S ribosomal RNA", at positions 22 to 154 of the family's 154-position model. The record is from RNAcentral. Lineage: Eukaryota; Fungi.